CGUUUUUAAACCAGUUUUGUCUGAAGCAAUGUAUCAUUGAAUUGACCUAAUUCGAAAAUACAACUUUCAACAACGGAUCUCUUGGCUCUCGCAUCGAUGAAGAACGCAGCGAAAUGCGAUACGUAAUGUGAAUUGCAGAAUUCAGUGAAUCAUCGAAUCUUUGAACGCACAUUGCGCUCUCUGGUAUUCCGGAGAGCAUGCUUGUUUGAGUAUCAGUAAAACACCCUCAAUUCUCUUGUUUUUCAAGGAAAUUGGACUUGAGUGAUCCCAACGGUUUUCAAACUGGCGGGCCACUUGAAAUGCAGGUGCGGCUGGACACUUCUUCUGAGCUAUAAGCAUUACUUAUUUAAUCCCGUCAAACGGAUUAUUUCUAUUGCUACAGCUAACAUAAAGGUUGAUUGUCCUUGUGCCCGACUGAUGCAGGAAAACAAAGAGUAAUCUUUGUUCAACUCGAUCUCAAAUCAAGUAAGACUACCCGCUGAACUUAA
Molecule: ribosomal RNA, 488 nt
Filed under: uncultured fungus
Lineage: Eukaryota; Fungi
Description: eukaryotic LSU rRNA
Rfam family: 5.8S ribosomal RNA (bases 62-215)
Source: RNAcentral